UGGUGGAGUGAUUUGUCUGGUUAAUCCCGUUAACGAACGAGACCUCAGCCUGCUAAAUAGUUACGCUUACGCUAUGUAGGCGGCCAACUUCUUAGAGGGACUGUUGGCGUCUAGCCAACGGAAGUUUGAGGCAAUAACA
RNAcentral lists this ribosomal RNA (139 nucleotides) under uncultured eukaryote. RNAcentral's name for it is "partial 18S ribosomal RNA". It matches the Rfam family "Eukaryotic small subunit ribosomal RNA", at positions 1299 to 1458 of the family's 1831-position model. The record is from RNAcentral.